ACGACUAGCGGGAGGGGGCCGGGCUAGCGGGCUACUGGGCUGCGGAGACCAGAGCCCGGCUCCACUGAAGAAACCCGCCGGCUGCUGGGGCAGGGCGGCGAAAGGUCAGUCGGCCGAGAGGAGUCCGUGGAGCCACCGUUUCAUAGCCUCAGGGAAAGGAUCGGGCGUGCUCACGAGCCCUCUAACCCAUGGCUUAAACACCCGCUUCCUAAGCCUGGGUUCUUAUGCCUUUGUUUGAAAAACAUGGUUCCCUGUGAAAUUUUACAUGUAGAAGAAAGCUUCACACUACGAGAGCUCUCAGGAUAUAAUUAUUUCAGACAGAUACUGGGAACAUAAGAUGGCUUAUCAAUCUAAGAUGGCCUUCCUGUCCUUCGGAUUGAACUGAAACCAUCCCUGAUUCCAGGGAUAGGUAGAUGAUCCAGGUUUGGACAAUCAAAAUAUUGAACCACCCUGGACCUACAAGUGUUUCUGGGAUGGGAACAUGCAAACGUUGGUCCAAAUUGUUGUUCUAGGCAGCCCAGUACAUUUCUCCAAUGCCUGAUGGAAUGAUAGGGUAUGCAUAAAUGUUCAUGUGGGCUCUGGAGUAUACCAGGAACUGAAGUAAGGUACAUGGACGUCUUGAAUAUUGUAACUGAGAUGGGCAAGCCUACACCUUUGCAAAUAAAGGAGGAUUGGGAAAGAUUAAGAUCCUGUUAAACGUCAGUGUUACUAUUUAGCCUUUGAUAUCUCCAGUAAAGGCAACUUCUUUCUGGACCCAGAAAUAAAGCUUUACAUUAGCAGCUUCCAUAACACCAAUAACAUGAAUGACCAUCUACUGAGCAAUUGCAGUGCACCAGGAUUAUGGCUUAUGAGCACUUUAUGUUUAUUAUCUCACAACUCACUGAGUUAGAUACUCUCCACAACCCAGUGAGGUAAAUACUAUUACUUCCACAGUAUAUAUUAUUAUAUAAUAAAAUGCUUAGAAUAUACACACAGUAACUAAACACUACUUAUAAAAUAUGGCUCUAGAUAUGUUUGAUAAAUAUUUCCUUCAUGAAAACAUGGAGGAAUUAAUUAGCAGUAUCUCUCUGCAGCCUUUAGCCCUCGAGAAUCAUGUAGAAAAGAGGAGCUGUCUUCUCUUUUAGCAGAACAUCUGUCAGAGAUGGUUUCCCCUGACUUAGACAAUUGUGUUUUUUUCCCUUCAGAAUGAUUGAGUCUCAGAAUUGUUCUUUAAUCCUCAGUAUUUCCAUUAAGAAGAGCUUCUAUCAAGUGCUUCAAAAGUACCCAAUGUGAAGGAGUAAUAAUGACUCCCUGCUGGUGAGCGAAGUGUGGAGGACACAGGUCCCUCAGCCGUCCACUGGAUGCUGCACUGUUUGGCCUGAGCCAACAUGGGCAGAAAUACAGGCGGCAGCAUAAGCAGAUGCCAAGAACCUGUCUUGCUUCUACUGUUUUCAUUGGGUUACUAUAUCUCCUUUGUAGUCCAACCUGCAAAUUACUUUGAGAAGGGGAGAUACACCCCUGGACCAAUCUAGGACUAUAUUUGUUCCCUUGCUAAAGUAGGAAAAAAAAUACAGAACCUUUAAAUAUUGAACUCAAGGGCAACUAAUUUAAAUUCCUUUCCUUUCAUGUUGAAAGUCUUUUGACUGGGUUAUUCUGAAGCCAUAGCAAUUAGGUUACAGUUUACUUCUCUGUUACUUUACCAUCUUUAAAUUUGGCACCUUCAAAAGGUUGUUCUGUGCGUUUAAAAAAAAAAAGGAACUACCGUUGGAUAUUGUAUUGUUGAUGACCAUUAUUUGAUUCUGGAUUCUUUUGUGUGUUUGUGUUUGGGUGUUUUUGGUUGUUGUUUGUUUGUUUUCUAGAGACGGGGGGUCUCACUAUGUUGUCCAGACUAGAUUCGAGCCCCUGAGCUCAAGGGAUUCUCCAGCCCCAGCCUCCCGAGUAGCUGGAACUGCAGGCACCCGCCACCACGCCCAGGGACAGUUACUUGAUUCUUAAUAGUCCAGUCAUAAUGAGACAGGAUACUGCAUAAGCCAAAGACCACACAAAGUAUCAAUGUUAAGUAUCAAGAGGGUGUGGAGGAAGUGGGUUACAACCACUUUGUCUCCCAACUGUUGUAUGUUUUGCCUUUAAAAAUUUUUUUAAGUACGUUAAAUUCUAAUGUACUCAGAUGUGGCUGAAACAAUGACAAAACAUUAGUUUUCUUUAAAUAUGCGUGACUUUUAAGCUUUUUCCCUUUCCCAGUGACUUGCUUCUCCACUAAGCUCUUUUUUUCUUUUUUUUUUUUCCUCAAAUAUUAUUGUUUCAUGUCACUGUGACAAGUUUAGUCUACUGGAAAUUCCUAUGUCCUCUGUAAUUUAGGUUUUAAGCAACAUAUGAUUUAUCUUGUUAUUUUAAAAAAACUAUCUGCCUUCCCUAAGUGGGCAACUCUCUGGCAUCCUUAAUAUUCUUCUAUAGAAAUUGUGAUGAAAGAACAGAUAAGCCUAAGUAAAUCUAGCGUGUGGAGCUCCUUUAAAAUGUGAAGACCUUGCCAACUGGUUAAAAAUAAAACUUGGUUUUGUCCUAAAUAUCCUUGCUGGGCCUAUUAUACAUAAAAAAAGGGGCCACAGCCCAUUUGCAAGGCUUCUGAAUGAACUCCAUUCAUUCUGUACUUGGAAAUGUCUCUUCAGCCACAAAAAGAAACAAUAGUUAUAACCUAAUUUCUUUGGUGCCAAUAUCAGCAGAAGAAGAGCCAAGAGACCAUUAUGAAAACUCUAGUAAGUUCUCUUGGUGAUUAUAUAAUGCUGUAUUCAUUGAUCAUAUUUCUGUAUUUAAAUAAGUACAUUUUUUAAAACAUCAUAAAGUGGAUCAGUAAUGCUGUAAUAUCACAUUUCAUGUAUUAUACAACAUUUUUGAAAUGGAGUACUCCAAAGUAAUUUGCUUCUUAUGGUUACCAAAGUUUAAAGAAUACCCUAACAUGCACUCCAAGAUUUUAAGAGGAAAGGCUUUGUGUUUUUCAUUACUGUAUUUUGAAAUCUGAGAGUGCAAAACUAGUUUUCUUAGGUAAACCCCGUAAUCAGUUUCCACAUUUACCUGUAAAAGUCAGUGGAGGGCAUACAUCUGGAAGUAGUAGUGGCGGUACACAAUGUGUGUUAAUAUGAUUUCCAAGGGGUAUCUAGAGUAAACUUUCUUAAUCACAGAUCUGAUCUGAGCAUGCCACUCCUUUCUUAAAAUCUUUUGUUGAUUUUCCAUUUCCCUAAAAGGAAGGCCCACUGGAGCAUGGGCCUUGCAAAGUCCUCUUUCUGGCUUCUGCCUGCCUGCCUUUUCAGCUUCAUCUCUGCCAUCUUCCCUGAAUGAACUUUUGUCAGUGGCCUCGCUCUUUCUACCUAUGAGAUGUUGUUUCUGCAUGUUCUUGCAUGGAAUUCUCUUCCUCCCAACCCUGUUUCAUUCCUUUAAUCUGUACAACUCUUUCUUAUCCUGAAGUCUUUAUGUUAAGGUUGCCUUUUCAGGAAGACUUUUAAUUGUAUUAGCUAAUUAAUUAAUUAAUAGUCUGAGGUAUUUGGAGCUGAGAUUCUAUGGGGAUUAGUUGCUGGAGGGUAGUUUAGAGCCAGAUUGUGAAGGACUUUCUAAACUGUGCUUUCAAGGUUUUGAACAGGAAAAUGAUGUAGACUUUCUGUUUUUUGUAAGUUUGGAGGAUGGCUUGUGUCUUAAAAGAAUAUGUAACAUAACCAUCUAAUUUGUGAGUAGUGGACUAAGGAAACACCACUCUAACCUUUUUCUCUCUGCGAUAAUCCCAUCUUCAGCCUCUCAAGCACUGUGAAAAAUCACUUUCUCUUGUUGUAUUCUUGGAGCCCCUGCUAAUUCAUUAUUGAAAAAUACCUGCUGCCUGCAUUUGGCCUUAUGUUGUCAUUUACUUGGUACUUCCUAAGCGUGGCUACUCCAAUGAAGCUUUAGUAUAUGUACUGAAAGAAGAUCCUCUCAUACUGCCACAGCCAAGAGAUAAGGUUGUAAAUCUUUAUUGGGAGAAGCCGUCAAGGACAGUUCUGUGAAAUGAAAGGAUCUCUGGAUCACCACAAAGUCUGGCUCAGUGACUAUGGCUUUGCAAACACUAAACAUUCCUGUCUCAAGUCCUGUAGAUGGCUUGAAAUAGUAUACAUAAGCAUGCCUUAUAAACAUCUUCAGUCUUUAUCAACUCUUUGGAGAUUCAGCCAUUCUUUUUUGUACUUUAGGGAAUUAAAUCAUUUUAUAAUGUAUAAAUCUGAGCAUGGCCGAUGGCAGAAGAAAUUUUGUCAUACGUUUUUAAAGAAAUAAAAAUGUAUUAUGUUUU
Long non-coding RNA from Homo sapiens (human), 4282 nucleotides. Ensembl annotates it as DPH5 divergent transcript. Its record names the gene DPH5-DT. NCBI's taxonomy places the organism in Eukaryota, Metazoa, Chordata, Mammalia, Primates, Hominidae. The record is from Ensembl.